AAAGUUCUGUGACACUCAGACU
RNAcentral lists this microRNA (22 nucleotides) under Chrysemys picta bellii (western painted turtle). Its description in RNAcentral is "Cpi-Mir-148-P1_5p* (star (passenger))". RNAcentral also lists the same sequence under 5 other names. Lineage: Eukaryota; Metazoa; Chordata; Testudines; Emydidae. The record is from RNAcentral.